RNAcentral lists this ribosomal RNA (253 nucleotides) under uncultured bacterium. RNAcentral's name for it is "partial 16S ribosomal RNA". It matches the Rfam family "Bacterial small subunit ribosomal RNA", at positions 524 to 776 of the family's 1533-position model. The record is from RNAcentral.
GACGUAGGAUGCAAGCGUUGUCCGGAUUUAUUGGGCGUAAAGAGUUCGUAGGCGGUUCGUUAAGUCUGAUGUUAAAGAUCGGGGCGCAACCCCGGGAGUGCAUUGGAUACUGGCAAACUGGAGUGCGGUAGAGGUAAGUGGAAUUCCUGGUGUAGCGGUGAAAUGCGUAGAUAUCAGGAAGAACACCGGUGGCGUAGGCGACUUACUGGGCCGUAACUGACGCUGAGGAACGAAAGCUAGGGGAGCGAACGGG